Nothobranchius furzeri (turquoise killifish) is the source of this 734-nucleotide non-coding RNA. The record is from RefSeq and is a predicted model, not a curated record. Lineage: Eukaryota; Metazoa; Chordata; Actinopteri; Cyprinodontiformes; Nothobranchiidae.
GUGUUGCUUUAAGAAAAAGUCACGUGACCAACACUGCUGCUGUGUCGCUCAUUGCCGAGGCGCCAAACUGUGUUUAUAAGGUAUCGACUCUGCAUCUGUCAACGGGAUGAGUCGCCGCGAAAAAAUUACCAUUUCAAAGAUAAAACAAGACAUCCCUCUUUACAUCAAGAAAAUGGAGCCAGAGAGGAAAAGAAAAGUUUCUGCUGUAUGGGAUCAUUUUGAUCUUUUAACAGCAAAUAAGGUUAAAUGUCGGAUCUGCUCAGCCGAGUUGUCUUAUACAAAUAAGAGCACUUCCUCAAUGCUGAGACAUUACAGAGUCAAGCAUGAAAACGAAGAGGAAGCAAAGAACGAACACAGAAUCUAGGAAGAUUGCUCUGGACCAAGCAGUCCUGAAUUUUAUUAUAAAGGACUGCCAACCCCUGAGUAUUGUGGAGAGUGAGGGGUUCGGGGGUUGAUUCAGGCCCUUGAUCCAUCUUACGCUUUGCCAACCAGAAAGACGGUUAAGGAAAUGAUGGCCAAAAAGCAUGCGGAGGAACUCGAACGAGUAAAAAGGGAAGUACAGCAAGCUGUGGCAGUGAGUAUAACAGCUGACAUGUGGACCUCCUUGAACAUGGAGGCUUAGCUCUUACCUGUCACUACAUCAAUGAUAAUAUGCAGUUGUGUACAUCUGUGUUGGGAGUCAAACACUUUCCACAAAGUCACACUGCUGACAAUCUGGCCCAAGUCAAAAGGGG